CCUACGGAAGUCAGCAGUGAGGAAUAUUGGUCAAUGGCCGAGAGGCUGAACCAGCCAAGUCGCGUGAGGGAAGACGGCCCUACGGGUUGUAAACCUCUUUUGUCGGGGAGCAAAGCGAACCACGUGUGGUUCAUUGAGAUUACCCGAAGAAAAAGCAUCGGCUAACUCAGUGCCAUCAGCCGCGGUAAUACGGAGGAUGCGAGCGUUAUCCGGAUUUAUUGGGGUUAAAGGGUGCGCAGGCGGAGGUGCAAGUCAGCGGUCAAAUUGCGGGGCUCAGCCCCGUACUGCCGUUGAAACUGCAUUCCGUGAGUGCGAGAGAAGUAUGCGGAAUGCGGGGUGUAGGAGUGAAAUGCAUAG
Molecule: ribosomal RNA, 357 nt
Filed under: uncultured bacterium
Lineage: Bacteria
Description: partial 16S ribosomal RNA
Rfam family: Bacterial small subunit ribosomal RNA
Source: RNAcentral